This 484-nucleotide ribosomal RNA is filed under the name uncultured bacterium. Its description in RNAcentral is "partial 16S ribosomal RNA". It matches the Rfam family "Bacterial small subunit ribosomal RNA", at positions 30 to 507 of the family's 1533-position model. The record is from RNAcentral.
AUUGAACGCUGGCGGCAGGCCUAACACAUGCAAGUCGAGCGGAGGAAGGGAGCUUGCUCCUGGAUUCAGCGGCGGACGGGUGAGUAAUGCCUAGGAAUCUGCCUGGUAGUGGGGGAUAACGUCCGGAAACGGGCGCUAAUACCGCAUACGUCCUGAGGGAGAAAGUGGGGGAUCUUCGGACCUCACGCUAUCAGAUGAGCCUAGGUCGGAUUAGCUAGUUGGUGGGGUAAAGGCCUACCAAGGCGACGAUCCGUAACUGGUCUGAGAGGAUGAUCAGUCACACUGGAACUGAGACACGGUCCAGACUCCUACGGGAGGCAGCAGUGGGGAAUAUUGGACAAUGGGCGAAAGCCUGAUCCAGCCAUGCCGCGUGUGUGAAGAAGGUCUUCGGAUUGUAAAGCACUUUAAGUUGGGAGGGAGGGCAGUAAGUUAAUACCUUGCUGUUUUGACGUUACCAACAGAAUAAGCACCGGCUAACUUCGUG